Molecule: non-coding RNA, 196 nt
Filed under: Ligilactobacillus saerimneri
Lineage: Bacteria; Bacillati; Bacillota; Bacilli; Lactobacillales; Lactobacillaceae
Description: Lactobacillus saerimneri T-box sequence
Rfam family: T-box leader
About the family: Uncharged tRNA acts as the effector for transcription antitermination of genes in the T-box leader family. T-boxes are found upstream of many aminoacyl-tRNA synthetase genes and some amino acid biosynthetic genes usually in Gram-positive bacteria.
Source: RNAcentral
CUUGUGACGUUGAAGUGGUACAGUAGGAUGAUGGUCCCUUUUGUCAGAGACCUGGUGGGAGCUGUAAACCAGGAAAAACCAUUUAUCUGAAUUACAACUAUGGAGUUGCGGCGGGUCAUUCCGUUAUCGAUGACAGAGCGACUGGAGAACUAUCUCCAGUAACCUGGGUGGUAACGCGGAAAAUUUCGUCCCUAGU